UGGUGUGGCCCGCCUGCAAGUUGCCAAGCAACUGUUUUAAUAAAUUCGCCGCUGCCGCUCCCGCCCACGGAGGAUAGUUAGUAUUUUCUCUCGAGAAUUAAACGUCUAGCAGAAUUCUGAUUGCCGCCAAUUCAAGUCCAAGGCCAUCCUCGGAGAAGCUGAUGGAAUGCUGCCUCGGGCUGCGGUGAAGUCCGCCAGCCUGGGGCCCUGCCCUGGCCUCCUGUCUGCCGUCCGGGGCUCUUGGGGCCUCAGUUUCCUUUUGUAAAAUUGGCAUAACGAUGCCUGACUUCAGGAAAGUUCUUAAUUGGGAUCGAGUGAAGUAACACACAUGAAAGACUUUUGCGAAGUGUAAGAUUCCAUAAGAAUGUUAAGGGGUUGUUAGGACACACACAUGGACGCGUGCCAACUCCAAAGAUUUCAUCUGGUGGCUGAACUUCUGAAGGAAAAGAAGAGAGAGGGAUCUUCUGACUCUGUGGGACAUACACUGAACCUUCUCCUUUGCUAUUCAGUGUGGUCUGCGAACCAGGAGCCUUAAUAUCUGCAGGGGACUUUCAGACCCGCAAGACCUUUUUAUAAAAUGCAGAUCGAGAAGGUCCAGGGGGUGCUGAGCAAAUUCCCAGCUGAGCUGGCCGCACCGAGUCAAGAUGAGAAAGGAAAGCGAGGCUGAGCGAAGCAAACUCCUUGUCAAGACAUCAUACAGCCAUUAAGCAGCAGAGCCAGUGAAGCCUGUCCGGUACCGAAGUCCCCCAGCAUAAUCUUGGAAUCCUCUCUGACAAGUACUCCCUCCUCAAGGACACCUUUCCUCAUUCUUUCCCAAAUGGAUCAUCUCAUACCAUCGCUUCUUGAAGACUGCUUCUCAUAUUCUGCCUCAUGAAACGGCAGGCAUUUGCCUCGUCUUGCUUGCUAGACUUUAAACUGUGUCUUACUCCUGUGUGUAUCCUUUGCAGCACCAAGCUCUCAGUGUCUUACACACAGCUGGCGUGAAAUCAGCGUUUGUUGAAUUAUAUUUCCCACACCUGAGGAAUACUCCAGAAACCUCUAUCAUGAUACAGAGUCUUACACAAUCCUGGUGCUUCAUCAUAUUUUUAAAACGAUCUUUCUGCUGUUUCGGGGGAACUAAUUGACAAGCUGCUUUUGCAUCGACCACCCGGGGAAGAAUAAAAGCACGUGCACGCAAAUGUA
Molecule: long non-coding RNA, 1182 nt
Organism: Leopardus geoffroyi (Geoffroy's cat)
Lineage: Eukaryota; Metazoa; Chordata; Mammalia; Carnivora; Felidae
Exons: 2
Source: RefSeq, a predicted model, not a curated record